This 460-nucleotide ribosomal RNA is filed under the name uncultured bacterium. RNAcentral describes it as "bacterial SSU rRNA". It matches the Rfam family "Bacterial small subunit ribosomal RNA", at positions 29 to 532 of the family's 1533-position model. The record is from RNAcentral.
AACGAACGCUGGCGGCAGGCCUAACACAUGCAAGUCGAGCGCCCCGCAAGGGGAGCGGCGGACGGGUGAGUAACGCGUGGGAACGUACCCUUUGCUACGGAAUAGCCUCGGGAAACUGGGAGUAAUACCGUAUGUGCCCUUCGGGGGAAAGGAUUUAUCGGCAAAGGAUCGGCCCGCGUUGGAUUAGGUAGUUGGUGGGGUAAUGGCCUACCAAGCCGACGAUCCAUAGCUGGUUUGAGAGGAUGAUCAGCCACACUGGGACUGAGACACGGCCCAGACUCCUACGGGAGGCAGCAGUGGGGAAUCUUAGACAAUGGGCGCAAGCCUGAUCUAGCCAUGCCGCGUGAGCGAUGAAGGCCUUAGGGUUGUAAAGCUCUUUCAGUGGGGAAGAUAAUGACUGUACCCACAGAAGAAGCCCCGGCUAACUCCGUGCCACGCAGCCGCGGUAAUGCACGACUGU